Molecule: ribosomal RNA, 301 nt
Filed under: uncultured bacterium
Lineage: Bacteria
Description: partial 16S ribosomal RNA
Rfam family: Bacterial small subunit ribosomal RNA
Source: RNAcentral
CACAGCCGCGGUAAUACGUAGGUGGCAAGCGUUGUCCGGAAUUAUUGGGCGUAAAGGGCUCGCAGGCGGUUUCUUAAGUCUGAUGUGAAAGCCCCCGGCUCAACCGGGGAGGGUCAUUGGAAACUGGGAAACUUGAGUGCAGAAGAGGAGAGUGGAAUUCCACGUGUAGCGGUGAAAUGCGUAGAGAUGUGGAGGAACACCAGUGGCGAAGGCGACUCUCUGGUCUGUAACUGACGCUGAGGAGCGAAAGCGUGGGGAGCGAACAGGAUUAGAUACCCCUGUAGUCCCUGUCUCUUAUACC